GAUGAGCGCUAGCUACAGGCUUAACACAUGCAAGUCGCGGGGCAGCAUGGGGGUUGCUUGCAAUCCCCGAUGGCGACCGGCGCACGGGUGAGUAACGCGUAUCCAACCUGCCCUUCACCACGGGAUAACCCGGCGAAAGUCGGACUAAUACCGUAUGUUGUCCAUUGACGGCAUCCGAUUUGGACGAAAGGUUUGGCGGUGAAGGAUGGGGAUGCGUCCGAUUAGCUGGACGGCGGGGUGACGGCCCACCGUGGCGACGAUCGGUAGGGGUUCUGAGAGGAAGGUCCCCCACACUGGAACUGAGACACGGUCCAGACUCCUACGGGAGGCAGCAGUGAGGAAUAUUGGUCAAUGGGCGUAAGCCUGAACCAGCCAAGUAGCGUGCAGGAUGACGGCCCUAUGGGUUGUAAACUGCUUUUAUGCGGGGAUAAAGUGGCCCACGUGUGGGUUUUUGCAGGUACCGCAUGAAUAAGGACCGGCUAAUUCCGUG
This 490-nucleotide ribosomal RNA is filed under the name uncultured bacterium. Its description in RNAcentral is "partial 16S ribosomal RNA". It matches the Rfam family "Bacterial small subunit ribosomal RNA", at positions 28 to 507 of the family's 1533-position model. The record is from RNAcentral.